RNAcentral lists this unclassified non-coding RNA (538 nucleotides) under Hevea brasiliensis (rubber tree). Lineage: Eukaryota; Viridiplantae; Streptophyta; Magnoliopsida; Malpighiales; Euphorbiaceae. The record is from RNAcentral.
UUCAGAGAUGGUUCAGAUCCCUCUUCAUAUUCAGGGAAAAUCAUUGAGUGUUCUUGGGAUUCAGAUGAACAGGUAUGGGUUUGUAUGCGGGUCCGGACAGAUAAAUCUUCGCCAAAUGAUUUUAAUACCUACAGAAAGGUGAUGCGAAGCAUCAAGGACAAUAUAACGGAGGACAUCUUGUUGAAUGAGAUUUAUGAGAUUAUUCGCCUGCCCAUGUAUGCUGAUAGGAUUAGAAAUGAUAGUAAAGCUCACCAGCACACAGCUUCAGCACGACGCAGGUGAUUGGCAGUGGUGUAUGGUCACUAUGGUUUUUUUGGCAAGGCCACUAUGGUUAAAGUCUUUUAAAUGGUUUAGGUAGAGGAAUCCAGUGAUAUGUACUUCUGAUGCUCCUGCAUAGUGAUGCUCGGUGGUUCAGUUGGGUGAGGAUAUCAUCUAGAGGGUCAAUGAGAUGUUAUGUAAUUAGCUAAAACCUUGUGCUGGUGAGUUCUAUGAUCCAGAUGGUACACUCAGGGAUAGUUUUCUACAUCAGACCCAAAAU